This 454-nucleotide ribosomal RNA is filed under the name uncultured bacterium. RNAcentral's name for it is "bacterial SSU rRNA". It matches the Rfam family "Bacterial small subunit ribosomal RNA", at positions 29 to 524 of the family's 1533-position model. The record is from RNAcentral.
AACGAACGCUGGCGGCAGGCUUAACACAUGCAAGUCGAACGCUCGUAGCAAUACGGGAGUGGCGGACGGGUGAGUAACGCGUGGGAACGUGCCCUGAGGUACGGAAUAACUGAGGGAAACUUCAGCUAAUACCGUAUGAGCCCCGAGAGGGGGAAAGAUUUAUCGCCUUGGGAGCGGCCCGCGUCGGAUUAGCUAGUUGGUGGGGUAACGGCCUACCAAGGCUUCGAUCCGUAGCUGGUCUGAGAGGACGAUCAGCCACACUGGGACUGAGACACGGCCCAGACUCCUACGGGAGGCAGCAGUGGGGAAUCUUGCGCAAUGGGGGCAACCCUGACGCAGCCAUGCCGCGUGAACGAUGAGGGCCUUAGGGUUGUAAAGUUCUUUUACCCGUGACGAUGAUGACGGUAACGGGGGAAUAAGCUCCGGCUAACUUCGUGCCAGCAGCCGCGGUAAU